RNAcentral lists this ribosomal RNA (247 nucleotides) under uncultured bacterium. RNAcentral describes it as "partial 16S ribosomal RNA". It matches the Rfam family "Bacterial small subunit ribosomal RNA", at positions 87 to 334 of the family's 1533-position model. The record is from RNAcentral.
GAUGGCGACCGGCGCACGGGUGCGUAACGCGUAUCAAACCUGCCUCAUACUCGGGGAUAGCCUUGCGAAAGUAAGAUUAAUACCCGAUGUUGUUAUGUUACCGCAUGGUGAUAUAACCAAAGAUUUAUCGGUAUGAGAUGGUGAUGCGUCCGAUUAGGUAGUAGGCGGGGUAACGGCCCACCUAGCCUUCGAUCGGUAGGGGUUCUGAGAGGAAGGUCCCCCACACUGGAACUGAGACACGGUCCAG